AGACAUUUGGGCGACAAGGCAUUAUGCUAAUAUAUAGUCCAGGCAGUGUUAGUCACAACACAAGAGCAUUGGAUCCCACCCAAAGGGCCAACAACAAGAAAGUUGUAAAAUACACUCGUGGAGUCUGCAGCUACUAAAAUAAUGACUACGAAGGAUCUACCUAGAAAAGUUCGCAGCCCGAAAAGCGAGCCUCGCUGGAAUUAAGGAAUUCCGAACAAGGAGUUCCCUUCCCAAAGAAGGACCACCACGCAGCAGCCCUCUACCCAGGCCACGUCAGUCAAACCACCAACAGACCAACCCCCCAAGGGACCCUAUUUUGGGAUCUGCGAAUCCCAAGGCCAGCGGCCCGGAAGAUGGGCCGGGUCGGGGCCCUUCCUUCGUGGGAAACACUUGCUGAAUCUUGGGCCUGCAACGAAACACCUGGAGGGGCGGAAACGGGUGGCCGAGCUCUGUCCCCGGGCUGUCCCAGUCGCCCUCAGCUGCGCUCCGCCACCGCCUGGGGGAAGAGAAGUUGAAGCCGAGUCGAGGAAGCAGAAAGUGUGGCUAAGCGCUUUAAGAGAUGCUGAACCGGGGCAAAUACUUCGCGAGAAGCAAGUUUCAGUGGCAAUUCGGAAAACUGAAAGAAGCAAUUCAGGUGUGCGUGCCCCCGUAGCGACUGGGAACUGGGGCUCUUGGUAAACCGUGGACUGGAUUUUGGAGACAAAGGAACCGGAUCGGGGCCAGAGUGUUUUAGCGCUGAGAGGGCCUUCCAGAGGAAGCGGGGAGGGAACUCGAGUUUCCAGAGCGCUGCCUACUAUGUGCCAGAUACUUCAAACACCCUAUCCCUUUAAUUCCCAGCGUAGCUCAGUCAGGGAAGUACUAUGGUCCUUGAUUUUACAGGGGAGGGAACUGAGGCCCGGAGACAGACCAACCGUCCAGGGCUCCACACAGGCCAGUGGUAGAGCCAGGGGGCAGGCCUCCAGCUGUCGGGCUCCAGAGCCCUUUCCUCCAGGUCCAGGCCAACCCCUUUCUUUUGAAGAUGAGAAAACUGAAGGCCUUGGAGGAAGGAGGACCAAAGCUGGGAUCCAGAAGGAGGAUGAGAGCUGGGAUCCAGAAGGAUGUGCCAAGGGCAGCUACUACCUUAAAAGCAAUACUUUGAAUCUGCAAAACCACCCUCUGAGGAAGACACUAUUUUUAUUCCCAUUUUCCAGAUGAGGAAACUGAAGAUCACAUAGGAGCCAAGGGGCAGAGAAAAGAUUCAAACACAAGUUUACCCAAUUCCAAAAUCUAGGAUUCUUGCCGCUUCAUCGUAUUGCCCUCUAGCAAUGAAUGAGUUAAGCCACACCUUGGGCCAAUAGAAGACAAAGGCCGGUUGUGUCCAUCUAACUUUGGGCAGAGUGCUGAGCUGGUCUUUAUCUCCCCGGGGGCCAGAGGAAGAGUCCCCCCCCCCCCCCCCGGGGCCCCGGACUGCAGAGGGACGAUUUCCCUUGUCCGAGCCCCUU
Molecule: long non-coding RNA, 1481 nt
Organism: Felis catus (domestic cat)
Lineage: Eukaryota; Metazoa; Chordata; Mammalia; Carnivora; Felidae
Exons: 4
Source: RefSeq, a predicted model, not a curated record